Molecule: unclassified non-coding RNA, 318 nt
Filed under: uncultured fungus
Lineage: Eukaryota; Fungi
Description: partial contains small subunit ribosomal RNA, internal transcribed spacer 1, and 5.8S ribosomal RNA
Rfam family: Eukaryotic small subunit ribosomal RNA (bases 1-73)
Source: RNAcentral
UCAAACUUGGUCAUUUAGAGGAAGUAAAAGUCGUAACAAGGUUUCCGUAGGUGAACCUGCGGAAGGAUCAUUAUGAAUUUGAUCAAGUUCCUCUCUCUCUCUUUCCGAGGGAGAGAGAGAGCUUUUCAUUUUCUGUGAACUGUUGAGGGGGGAGAUGGCUUGAGCAAUCGAGUCGUCGUCUCUUCUCUUUUUGUUAUCUUGUCUUCUAUUCCAAUUCUUAUUUGGUUGGUGAUAUUUUUCAUCAUCAGCUGAAUAAUACAAACCAAGACAACUUUCAGCAAUGGAUCUCUUGGCUCUUGCAUCGAUGAAGAACGCAGC